GAGUUUUCGCGGUGAUGGAGUCAAUGGCGAUAGCUGAAAACCACCUACCUGGUCCAGGGACCCAACAAGUGAGAGCACGUACCUGAUUCGCCCGCGUUAGCGACAGUACGUAGUUGAUGGCUUCGGAGCUGUAGCCGCUACCGCUCCAAAAAGGAGCCAUCCACCAGACUGGAUGACUGACGAGAAAGGAGGGAAGAGGAGGAAAGAGGCCCUCAGAGGCGACGUGUUGUGUGGGGCGUAUGGAGGGACUGGCGUGAUGACCCGCAGGGGAAUGGAAAGGUAAUGCCAG
Molecule: long non-coding RNA, 289 nt
Filed under: Volvox carteri
Lineage: Eukaryota; Viridiplantae; Chlorophyta; Chlorophyceae; Chlamydomonadales; Volvocaceae
Description: long non-coding RNA (VCAR_LNC002562)
Source: RNAcentral